CCAGAUUUUUAUGUAUGUUACUAAUAUCACAUGAAAAAUCCACCCCAAAUUUUAAACAAUGGUAUAUUUUCAAGACCAUCGCCUUAACAGGACUAAUUUGCUGUUUUUCUCUGGACAUAUAUUUGUUAAUAAAAUAAAAAAGGCUAAGAACAAGGCCGAGCAUUCUCAAUCAUCAGGAAGGCUCAUUUAUUUUAAUAUGUGAAUGAGUGUGAAUGGCAGAGCAGCCGAUCCUGCAGCAACCGUGUGCUUUACCGAAUCUGUUGAGCUGUGAUUGCUAACUGCACUCAUUGAAGUCCCAGGAGACAGCCAGAUGCUUCUAAAAAUAGAAACCGAGAGCACGAGCCAAUGGCUUGAUAGCCCGUAAAUAAUUUAUCGCCUACUUUUGCUUUGUGUACUCAGCAGAAGAGUGGUGAGAGAGGAACACAGUGAGAGAGAGAGUGAGUAUAGAAGAGAAGAGAAUGAAUGAUUAAAAUCAGCAUUGGACUGUGGGUGAUUAAAAAAAAGAAGAUGACAGUUUGGAAGAAGUUUUCAUACUGAGCUGCUCAUCAGUUCAACUGUGCGUCUCUGCCCGGUUUGCUCUGUCUCCAGCAUUCCACCCAUGAUGGAUUCAUAACCAUGAAUAUCCUGAGGCUGGAGGCUGUCCCUCGCUCACUCUCUGACAGCGAUGCUCUCGUCAAGGUCACAACUCGUUAGACGCACCCUGUCUCUAGCAGUCAUCCUAAAAUAAAAUCCUGAAUAAAUCCUAGCUUCGGAACCCCCUGUGACAAGGCCAAAAGCAGCAUGAUUCACGCUGAUGAGACGCAGAUAUGACACUCUCACUGACAUCAUGCUAUUUGUGGAUCAAGAUUCAGCCAUGACACUGCAACACCCACUCACACACUCCUUCCUUAACAUCAAAUCAAGUGCGUCACUGGUGUCGAUGCUUGACGUCUAUGUCCUGUUCGUGGAAACCUGGUAUUUUUGGAUGACAUUGAAACUAGGAUGAGUUUGAUGAAAAGUGGAGCAGAAGCUGGAGCAAGGGUCCCUGUCACAAUCCUGCUUUCUGCUCGGCCCUGUGUCUCCCAUGACCAAAGAACGUGUGUGUGUGUGUGGUGUGUGUGUGUGUGUGUGUGUGUGUGUGUGUGUGUGUGUGUGUGUGUGUGUGUGAGAGAGAGAGUGAAAAGUGGAAAAAUUCACUUCAGACUAAAUUUCUAAAACUAGAUUCCUUUGAGGCACAAACUCAAUGUAAUGGUCAGGAAUCAAGGGUAUGACCAAAAUAGAGAAGAGAUUAAGAAAGAAUGUAAAAUAGAAACAUGGGAAAACACACACAAAAAAGAAAAAACUCAAGCGCAGACACUAGGUUCCUGUGUGAUCAUAUUCUACCUCCACAUUCUGGUCUCUGCAUUGCUCACAGAGCUGUUUGAAUUUCUCCUGUAUGUGCACGUGACCAGCACAAAAUGGACAACGGCUUAUUUUGUUUCUGACGCACCACAAUAAAAAGAAUAAAACAAAAUAUCGAACCUGUGGUGGAUCACAACUGACUUAAAAAAAAAAAAAACACAGAAAACUUACAGAAGAUUGAUUGCAAUGUUCACAGGACCCGGCAUGUGGUUCGGGUGCUCAUUUGCAUACUGCCGUCUUCUGCUUUAUCGUUAGUGCAAAGGCCAACGCUGCGAUAAUGACUGAGAAUCGAUACGCUUUGCAGCACCGAGUGUGGACGUGUGGGCGGGUGGAAAUGCAAGAGGCUAAAAAUAGCCUGCCUGCAAGUGAGGACUCUAGACGCUUAUUAGUUUAACACGUCUAUAUAUACGGCAUUCAUUUGCACUCCAUAGGUGCAGCUGGGAUUCGUUGCCUCGUAGAGCUGGGAAGAGAAAAUCAUUAUGGAUGGUGAAAUUCCCAGCAGCGUUGAUCUAAAUAAGCGUAUCUGUAACUGGAUCAUCCGAUUCAUAAAGAGUUCAGCAUACGUGAGAGGUGUUGUCAGCAGCAGAAUUAUUAGCACCUUCAGCACUCUUUACAACAGUGAUGAGCAGAAAAGCAAAGGGAAUUUGAGGCUAGCUGGUACAGACAGGUCAGCUGAUAAUAGAACAUAAAUAUGUCCCAAUUAUUAGCACCCCUCCAUUCAGUACUUCCUCCCUGACAAGUCAGUAAUCUCAGUUGAACCCCUUUUACAUGGAUUGGGAUGUAUGCUUUGGAUCACUGUCCCAGUAAUGUCCCAGAGAUCAAGCUCAUUAACCACAAAAGACAUUUACUCAUCUUUACCCAAUGACACAAAUGACGUUAUUCGCUCGACCUUUUUGUUGGUAAGAAACUCUCCGGUUUAACAUGGGAAAGGACAGAACAGAGCAGUUAGGACAUGAACACCACAAGGCUAAGUGAAAGAGGACAGCUAAAUUUAUUCACUGUAGCACUAUGAAACGUAAUGAUGUAAAAACCUGCAGCUCGUUUCUCAGUGCUCCAGGCUGGAGUACUGCAGUGUAACAAAUGCUGACCUGAACACUUUUCUGAUAUUGGAUGAAUAAAAGGUCUGACGUGUGCAAAAUCAAGUUUGGAGCAAAUAAAGCAGCGUUUGGUCAGUCUGUAUGAAGUAGAUGGUUUAAUAAAUUAAAAAAAUCGACUGAGUUCAUUGUAAAGGUUAGGCAGUGCUUCAAGUCGAGCUUUGUGAACGAAUCGUUUCUGAUUGCUGAUAAAACACAGGGCUCAUGUACUUAACUGACAUUUACCUCGAGAGAAGAAACCAGAGAGAGACAUUGACAUAGAUUGCAAAUAUGAGCAAAGCUUGUCUCUUUUUCCUCUUGAUCAUAAUUAUUAUUUCUAUAUUUUGGACUCAACAUAUUUACGAUUUUAUUACUGGAAUUGAGCUUUUCUCUCAGAAACAACGAUUUUCUGUUUAGACUUUUAGACAUUUAAAAAUAAAUACACAGAUAAAAAGGAAGUUCUCAGUAAUUCUCAAAAUUCACACCAUAUUUUUUCCCGUAAAGGGAUUUCCCAGCAUGUUAAAAACACCUCUUCCAUCAUUUGAUUUAUUACAAUUUCUUCGAGGUUAUUGAGCUUUUGAGAUUCUAUUAUAACCAUUGUCGCUUUUAAGCGUUGUCCGUCUCCUGCUAAACCACAAUCCCACCUGCUAAUACUCCAACAUUAUGCUAAUUAUCUGCAUGCUUCUGUUAUAUUAUAUAAGGGACACUGGCCAGGCUUUGCAUAUAUAAUGCAAAUGAAUAUACUGUAUAUGUAUGAAAUGUAAUGGCUAAUUAUUGUGCAAAUUGAAACCACGUUGUUGAUUAUUUUCUGUCCUUGAUGUGUUUUAUUCCUUUGUUUCUAAAUGGACAAACGUCCACAAUAAAUAUGUUUUGAGCGAAUGAAUGUUGUUAUUGAAUCAUCCUAACUAAAGUUUUUUUUUCCACAAAUAAAGGAAAUAAGGUAAUGGCAAAUCAGUGAUUUUAUUUUACACAUUUUAAUUCUUUUGCAUAACCACACAAACCAAUAUUCCUAUGUUCUAGUUUACUCACUUCCUUCUUGCCUUGACCCUGAGCACUUACGAGUUAAUGGGACACCAUUAGCCUCUGCAUUGAGACUGCAGUGCAAAGUGGGAUUGCUUAGAAAGACCGUACGAGGAGUUUUUUUCCCCCAGAAAAGCAAAUGUAAAGGGCUGCUUAAUUGCAGGCUGUGAGAUGGUGGUGGUGCACAGAUGGUGAGCACAGACUCUAUUCAAAACCACACACACACACACACACACACACACACACACACACA
Long non-coding RNA from Tachysurus fulvidraco (yellow catfish), 3726 nucleotides. RefSeq lists it as uncharacterized. The record is from RefSeq and is a predicted model, not a curated record. The transcript is spliced from 3 exons. NCBI's taxonomy places the organism in Eukaryota, Metazoa, Chordata, Actinopteri, Siluriformes, Bagridae.